GAACGGAUGAGUGACACGUACUUGUUGCUAAUACCCCGUGGGCAAAGCAAAAGGUGAAACCUACCCCUACAUUUGAUUAGCUAAUUGGUGAGGCAAAUAGUUUACCAAGCCGAUUAUCAAUAGUGUGCCUAAGAGGAUGAUUAGCCACACUGAGAUUGAGACAUGGCCUAGACUCCAAUGGGAC
RNAcentral lists this non-coding RNA (184 nucleotides) under Hordeum vulgare subsp. vulgare (domesticated barley). Lineage: Eukaryota; Viridiplantae; Streptophyta; Magnoliopsida; Poales; Poaceae. The record is from Rfam by way of RNAcentral.